AUUGAACGCUGGCGGCAGGCCUAACACAUGCAAGUCGAACGAGUGGCGGACGGGUGAGUAAUGUCUGGGAAACUGCCUGAUGGAGGGGGAUAACUACUGGAAACUGUAGCUAAUACCGCAUACCAUGGGAUGGGCCCCGAUGGGAUUAGCUAGUAGGUGGGGUAACGGCUAACCCAGGCGACGAUCCCUAGCUGGUCUGAGAGGAUGACCAGCCAACCUGGAACUGAGACACGGUCCAGACUCCUACGGGAGGCAGCAGUGGGGAAUAUUGCACAAUGGGCGCAAGCCUGAUGCAGCCAUGCCGCGUGUAUGAAGAAGGCCUUCGGGUUGUAAAGUACUUUCAGCGGGGAGGCGUUACCCGCAGAAGAAGCACCGGCUAACUCCGUGCCAGCAGCCGCGGUAAUUC
This 406-nucleotide ribosomal RNA is filed under the name uncultured bacterium. RNAcentral describes it as "partial 16S ribosomal RNA". It matches the Rfam family "Bacterial small subunit ribosomal RNA", at positions 30 to 526 of the family's 1533-position model. The record is from RNAcentral.